UACGGGGGGGGCAAGCGUUGUUCGGAAUUACUGGGCGUAAAGGGCUCGUAGGCGGCCAACUAAGUCAGACGUGAAAUCCCUCGGCUUAACCGGGGAACUGCAUCUGAUACUGGAUGGCUUGAGAUUGGGAGAGGGAUGCGGAAUUCCAGGUGUAGCGGUGAAAUGCGUAGAUAUCGGGAGGAACACCAGUGGCGAAGGCGGCGAUCUGGACAGAUAUUGACGCUGAGGUGCGAAAGCGUGGGGAGCAAACAGG
RNAcentral lists this ribosomal RNA (253 nucleotides) under uncultured bacterium. RNAcentral describes it as "partial 16S ribosomal RNA". It matches the Rfam family "Bacterial small subunit ribosomal RNA", at positions 524 to 776 of the family's 1533-position model. The record is from RNAcentral.